GCGACCAGUCACACCGCAAAAUUACAGCGUUGCGACGUACGAAAAGGUAACGCAGAUUGCGUGCGGUGUGGGCCAUGAGCAGUACGGUUGCCGUUGAAAUACGCUCCCUUACCAUCUGGAAAGAAGUUAUAAGUAAGAUGAACUGUGAGACUGGAAUUUGAACGUCUACACUGCCUCCAGAUUCGAGCUGGUAUCGGUCUAAUGUUAACUUCUCCUGGUGUGUACCGGUUCUGGAUUACAUGUAGGUGACGGAGAUUUGUGUAUCCCAGCAGUUGGAUUAGAUCUUCACCUAGGUUUUGAGGGCUGAUCAUUAAUACCUGCAAAAUGCAAUAAAAUGUUCACUGAAAUGUCUGUGUAGACAAGAUGUUACUGCAUAACAUUAAUAAAUAAUCUGUUUUCCUUGA
Non-coding RNA from Zootermopsis nevadensis, 404 nucleotides. Lineage: Eukaryota; Metazoa; Arthropoda; Insecta; Blattodea; Termopsidae. The record is from RefSeq and is a predicted model, not a curated record.